UACUUCUAUAAUAUUAUAGCAUUUACUGACUAUGUCGUAUUUAAUAUUUUAUGUUAUACGUUAUGUCCAUGCGUUUAUGACAAAGUGUAAGAAAAAUUAUGUAAUUUUAAUACAAUAAGGGAAAUUGUUUCUAUUAGGUAAUUUGGUCUAUUAGGUAAUAUAGGUAAUUUAUCUUAUGCUAAAAGAAAAAUAUUCUAAAAUAUCCGAGUAUACUUCAGAAUGUGAACCUCGAUCGACAUAUUCUCAAAUGUAGUUGUAUGCUCGACGAAGAAUGAUCUGUAUAGUUGAACAUUUUAGAAUACAACGAAUUUUACUAUUAACUAUUGGCAUAUGGCCUUACAACCAAUCAAAAUUUGUCCGAUUUCAGUUUUCAUUGCUUUCGGUUGUUACAAACAGCUAUAUUAUAUUUCAGCUAACACAGUUUAUAACUUCCGAAUUAACUGUUGAGCGUAUUAUAAAAAUUUUAUCUUCAACUUUGUUUUGUCUUGUGUGCGCAAUUCAUCAACUUUCUUAUUGGAUUAACGCAGAUAUUGUGAAAUGUUUUCUGGAGCGUCUCCAGCAUGCCUGCAAUGAAUUAAAAGAUGAAAACGAAAUGGCUAUAAUAAAGAAAUAUGCAACUAGUGCAGAAUAUAUCUCAAUUCUAGUUUUACUGUUCGCGGUGUGCUGGGCAUUUAUUGUUAUUCUUAUGCCGCGAAUUCUUAGCACCUUUUUACUCGUAAACAUAUCUCGACCAUUUUACAAUUUCCAAUUCAUAACUGAAUAUUUUAUUGAUAAAGAAAAGAAUUUCUAUUUAAUUUUGCUUCACGCAUACGCGUCCGCUUACAUAUCAUUAACUGCGUUGAUUGGGGGAGGUUUGAUAGGAUGUGCAUACCUUAAACACGUUUGCGGACUAUUUAACAUUGCUAGUUAUAACUUUAUUUAUAGUUACCGUAUAGGACAAUCAAUGAUAGUAAAUAUUCACGAAAAAACUAAUCAGUGGAAUAAGAUGGAAAAGAAGAUACGCCUUGCAGUGGAUGUCCAUCGCACAGCCAUUGAGUUGGCUGAAUUUUUUAUCUCUAGUUUUAAUGGAACAUACUUUUGUCUAACAGUGUUAUCCAUACUUAGUCUAUGCCUCAAUCUAUGCGAAAUGCAGAAAUAUAAUGGAGUGAAAGAACAAGAAUUAUUACAUACAUGUAUACAAAAUUUAUUCAUAAUUAUAUACAUAAUUCAUAUUUUUACCAAUGGUCUAAGCCUUAGACACUAUAAGGUUUAAUAAAGACCCAAACUUAAUAUGAAAAACAGAUUACGUAUUUGCUAUUUUAUGUAUAUUUAUUAUGGUAUUCCAAACUGCACUGCUUCGAGAUAAAGUGGAGGAAUUUCUGGUACACCUUAUAUUUGCAACUGCUGUGCUUCUAUAUUGGUUCCUGG
Molecule: unclassified non-coding RNA, 1407 nt
Filed under: Ooceraea biroi (clonal raider ant)
Lineage: Eukaryota; Metazoa; Arthropoda; Insecta; Hymenoptera; Formicidae
Description: uncharacterized LOC105281801, transcript variant X1
Source: RNAcentral